AGGAAUAUUGGUCAAUGGGCGGAAGCCUGAACCAGCCAUGCCGCGUGCAGGAAGACGGCCCUACGGGUUGUAAACUGCUUUUGUACGGGAAUAAACCUCCUUACGUGUAAGGAGCUGAAUGUACUGUAAGAAUAAGGAUCGGCUAACUCCGUGCCAGCAGCCGCGGUAAUACGGAGGAUCCAAGCGUUAUCCGGAUUUAUUGGGUUUAAAGGGUGCGUAGGCGGCCUAUUAAGUCAGGGGUGAAAGACGGUAGCUUAACUAUCGCAGUGCCUUUGAUACUGAUGGGCUUGAAUGUACUUGAGGUAGGCGGAAUGUGACAAGUAGCGGUGAAAUGCAUAGAUAUGUCACAGAACACCAAUUGCGAAGGCAGCUUACUAAAGUAUGAUUGACGCUGAGGCACGAAAGCGUGGGGAUCAAACAG
This 421-nucleotide ribosomal RNA is filed under the name Sphingomonas sp. sph1. RNAcentral describes it as "bacterial SSU rRNA". It matches the Rfam family "Bacterial small subunit ribosomal RNA", at positions 357 to 775 of the family's 1533-position model. The record is from RNAcentral. Lineage: Bacteria; Pseudomonadati; Pseudomonadota; Alphaproteobacteria; Sphingomonadales; Sphingomonadaceae.